This 1540-nucleotide ribosomal RNA is filed under the name Klebsiella pneumoniae. RNAcentral's name for it is "bacterial SSU rRNA". It matches the Rfam family "Bacterial small subunit ribosomal RNA". Lineage: Bacteria; Pseudomonadati; Pseudomonadota; Gammaproteobacteria; Enterobacterales; Enterobacteriaceae. The record is from RNAcentral.
AAAUUGAAGAGUUUGAUCAUGGCUCAGAUUGAACGCUGGCGGCAGGCCUAACACAUGCAAGUCGAGCGGUAGCACAGAGAGCUUGCUCUCGGGUGACGAGCGGCGGACGGGUGAGUAAUGUCUGGGAAACUGCCUGAUGGAGGGGGAUAACUACUGGAAACGGUAGCUAAUACCGCAUAAUGUCGCAAGACCAAAGUAGGGGACCUUCGGGCCUCAUGCCAUCAGAUGUGCCCAGAUGGGAUUAGCUAGUAGGUGGGGUAACGGCUCACCUAGGCGACGAUCCCUAGCUGGUCUGAGAGGAUGACCAGCCACACUGGAACUGAGACACGGUCCAGACUCCUACGGGAGGCAGCAGUGGGGAAUAUUGCACAAUGGGCGCAAGCCUGAUGCAGCCAUGCCGCGUGUGUGAAGAAGGCCUUCGGGUUGUAAAGCACUUUCAGCGGGGAGGAAGGCGUUAAGGUUAAUAACCUCAUCGAUUGACGUUACCCGCAGAAGAAGCACCGGCUAACUCCGUGCCAGCAGCCGCGGUAAUACGGAGGGUGCAAGCGUUAAUCGGAAUUACUGGGCGUAAAGCGCACGCAGGCGGUCUGUCAAGUCGGAUGUGAAAUCCCCGGGCUCAACCUGGGAACUGCAUUCGAAACUGGCAGGCUAGAGUCUUGUAGAGGGGGGUAGAAUUCCAGGUGUAGCGGUGAAAUGCGUAGAGAUCUGGAGGAAUACCGGUGGCGAAGGCGGCCCCCUGGACAAAGACUGACGCUCAGGUGCGAAAGCGUGGGGAGCAAACAGGAUUAGAUACCCUGGUAGUCCACGCCGUAAACGAUGUCGAUUUGGAGGUUGUGCCCUUGAGGCGUGGCUUCCGGAGCUAACGCGUUAAAUCGACCGCCUGGGGAGUACGGCCGCAAGGUUAAAACUCAAAUGAAUUGACGGGGGCCCGCACAAGCGGUGGAGCAUGUGGUUUAAUUCGAUGCAACGCGAAGAACCUUACCUGGUCUUGACAUCCACAGAACUUUCCAGAGAUGGAUUGGUGCCUUCGGGAACUGUGAGACAGGUGCUGCAUGGCUGUCGUCAGCUCGUGUUGUGAAAUGUUGGGUUAAGUCCCGCAACGAGCGCAACCCUUAUCCUUUGUUGCCAGCGGUUAGGCCGGGAACUCAAAGGAGACUGCCAGUGAUAAACUGGAGGAAGGUGGGGAUGACGUCAAGUCAUCAUGGCCCUUACGACCAGGGCUACACACGUGCUACAAUGGCAUAUACAAAGAGAAGCGACCUCGCGAGAGCAAGCGGACCUCAUAAAGUAUGUCGUAGUCCGGAUUGGAGUCUGCAACUCGACUCCAUGAAGUCGGAAUCGCUAGUAAUCGUAGAUCAGAAUGCUACGGUGAAUACGUUCCCGGGCCUUGUACACACCGCCCGUCACACCAUGGGAGUGGGUUGCAAAAGAAGUAGGUAGCUUAACCUUCGGGAGGGCGCUUACCACUUUGUGAUUCAUGACUGGGGUGAAGUCGUAACAAGGUAACCGUAGGGGAACCUGCGGUUGGAUCACCUCCUUA